Molecule: long non-coding RNA, 319 nt
Filed under: Monodelphis domestica (gray short-tailed opossum)
Lineage: Eukaryota; Metazoa; Chordata; Mammalia; Didelphimorphia; Didelphidae
Description: lncRNA (ENSMODG00000045433.1)
Source: RNAcentral
CAGAAUGAGGUGCUAUCUGAAGUCUCCAAAGAAGGUUAUUACUACCUGGGGGUCAGGUGUGGAUAUUUUGAACUGAAGUUGCAUCCUUGCAUAUGAAGUGGAAGAUGAGAAAGAGAAGAUAGAGUCAAAUGUGCAAAGAAAUUCAUAUUGUGUGAGCUAUGCCAGAAAAAGGCAGUUGCUGAAGGUAGAGGACUCCAGAGUUCUGGGAAUAUCCUCCUUCUUUGUCUGGCUUGACAAAUAGUUCUCUUUGAUUUUGGGACACUGGCUAUAUUAAGAAGGUAACUCUUAUCUAUCUCCUGUAACAAAUGGUAUAAUUUUC